AUUGAACGCUGGCGGCAGGCCUAACACAUGCAAGUCGAACGGUAACAGGAAGAAGCUUGCUUCUUUGCUGACGAGUGGCGGACGGGUGAGUAAUGUCUGGGAAACUGCCUGAUGGAGGGGGAUAACUACUGGAAACGGUAGCUAAUACCGCAUAACGUCGCAAGACCAAAGAGGGGGACCUUCGGGCCUCUUGCCAUCGGAUGUGCCCAGAUUGGAUUAGCUAGUAGGUGGGGUAACGGCUCACCUAGGCGACGAUCCCUAGCUGGUCUGAGAGGAUGACCAGCCACACUGGAACUGAGACACGGUCCAGACUCCUACGGGAGGCGGCAGUGGGGAAUAUUGCACAAUGGGCGCAAGCCUGAUGCAGCCAUGCCGCGUGUAUGAAGAAGGCCUUCGGGUUGUAAAGUACUUUCAGCGGGGAGGAAGGGAGUAAAGUUAAUACCUUUGCUCAUUGACGUUACCCGCAGAAGAAGCACCGGCUAACUCCGUG
Molecule: ribosomal RNA, 490 nt
Filed under: uncultured bacterium
Lineage: Bacteria
Description: partial 16S ribosomal RNA
Rfam family: Bacterial small subunit ribosomal RNA
Source: RNAcentral